Molecule: ribosomal RNA, 469 nt
Filed under: actinomycete S23304
Lineage: Bacteria; Bacillati; Actinomycetota; Actinomycetes; Actinomycetales
Description: bacterial SSU rRNA
Rfam family: Bacterial small subunit ribosomal RNA
Source: RNAcentral
GACGAACGCUGGCGGCGUGCUUAACACAUGCAAGUCGAACGGUGAUGACCAAGCUUGCUUGGUUUGAUCAGUGGCGAACGGGUGAGUAACACGUGAGUAACCUGCCCCAGACUCUGGGAUAACCCCGGGAAACCGGAGCUAAUACCGGAUAUGACACCAAUCCGCAUGGGUAUGGUGUGGAAAGUUUUUCGGUCUGGGAUGGACUCGCGGCCUAUCAGCUUGUUGGUGAGGUAGUGGCUCACCAAGGCGACGACGGGUAGCCGGCCUGAGAGGGCGACCGGCCACACUGGGACUGAGACACGGCCCAGACUCCUACGGGAGGCAGCAGUGGGGAAUAUUGCACAAUGGGCGGAAGCCUGAUGCAGCGACGCCGCGUGAGGGAUGACGGCCUUCGGGUUGUAAACCUCUUUCAGCAGGGAAGAAGCGCAAGUGACGGUACCUGCAGAAGAAGCACCGGCUAACUACGUGC